Molecule: ribosomal RNA, 253 nt
Filed under: uncultured bacterium
Lineage: Bacteria
Description: partial 16S ribosomal RNA
Rfam family: Bacterial small subunit ribosomal RNA
Source: RNAcentral
UACGGGGGGGGCAAGCGUUGUUCGGAAUUACUGGGCGUAAAGGGCUCGUAGGUGGCCAACUAAGUCAGACGUGAAAUCCCUCGGCUUAACCGGGGAACUGCGUCUGAUACUGGAUGGCUAGAGUUUGGGAGAGGGAUGCGGAAUUCCAGGUGUAGCGGUGAAAUGCGCAGAUAUCGGGAGGAACACCGGUGGCGAAGGCGGUUCUCUGGGCCUUACCUGACGCUGAGGAGCGAAAGCGUGGGGAGCGAACAGG